UAAAAUCUUUAGGCUCUUCAUUUAAAAUGUUUAUGGAACUAUAAAACUACAAAAUUAAUGUUUGCAUGUAUUGAAAGGGUAAGAAGUUCUACCAGCCAAGAGUUUAUUAUAAUGUUUUCUUUUCUUCUUUUCAUACCUUGCUUCUCUUUCAUUACUAGAAUGCCAUGCUGAUUUCAAGAUUUUCUUAUGUAUCUUCUCUACCCUACUGAUAAUUCUGUUUUCUGGGUGAUAGUUGGAAGUGGGCCCUUCCCUGCAGGACCUCAGCUGGCACUUGCAAAGAAAAAGAUUACAGUGUUUUUAAAGAAAUGUAUCAUGAAAGAAAGAUGCAGAUUUCCCUGUCCAAGUCUCUGCCAGAGGGAAUGAACUCAUAAGUAUCAUAAAUCAAGACAAUGAAAACAGGCAGUUAAAGUCCAGUUCUUGUGAUGACAAAGUAUACUGUUUCUUUAGUUUUGCAGUAGAAAGUGAGGCUGUAUGUGUAUCUGGUUGGGGGUUCUCUACAGAAACAAAAAGAUCACCAUAGUUUCAGGAUGUUAUUCCAUUAAUUUAAAGAAGUGACAUAACUUAACAGUCAUUCAAAAAAAAAAAAAAAUCAUUCAUGCCCCUCACAUGAUAAUUCUCUCAAAAGUUUUUUAGAAGUCUUAUUGCUGUCCCUUGGACAGAAGUCAGACAGCAGCUUGGAGCUCUUGAGAACUAAAUCAGGAGUUUCCAAAGGUUGACUUUAGAAUAUGACACUAAUUGCUUUAAUCAAAGUGUACGGAGUGUUUCUUCUGGGAUAUCAGAGAAGAGGUUUGUGAAUUUUUAAAAGAAGUUAUAACUCACCUCUGAUUUUUUUAUUUUUAUUUGUUUAUUUAUAUAUUUAUCUGGUGCUGUCUCUUGCCAUGGUGAUGAAAAAGAACAGAGUGGCAUUGCAGAGCUCCCUUCCAGAUCUGCAGCUAGUACAGAUCUGAAAGCUGAUUAAAGCCUAAUCCAAAGGACUGUCAAAACUGUGAUAUACAUGACUACUUGAGGAAACAAAAUCAGUAUUACCAACCUCAUCCUACUUCCAUAAAAGUCAAGGACGUAAAUUUUCAGUGCAAACAGCAUCAAACACUUAGGUUUCUUGUUACUCCUUAACUAAAUAGCUUUUUAGUGAUUUCAGUAGUUGCUUUUUAACUUAAAAUUCCUCAUAAGUAAAGCAUCUUGAAAGGCCUGGUAUGAAAAAAAUCAGUAGCUCCUUAUUAUAAAAUUUUGUUAUUAAAAUCAGGUUUUAAUUAUUCUCCCAGUGCUUCACAAAAACAUAUUUGCAGAUCCAGGAGGGUUUCUGAAUCUGUCUUUUCUUCUCCCCUCCUGUUCUGUAAUCACUACAGAGUUUAAAGAGCAUAUUCAUGUGAGAACACUUUAUUUUCUAAAUAUGCACAACUGGUAUGUUUAGAUGGUUAUUUUUCAGAGUGAAAUUCUGAGAAGACAGGAUCCUUCUCAGCAGGUCAGGUAUUAUAGGCUUAAGUCACAAGUAACGUUUUCCUUCACCUUUACUUUUCCAUUUCAGUGCACGCAAAUAACAGCUAGGUCAUAGAAAGCUUUUAACUUGUAUAGUAGAAUCAUAUUGUAAACAUAAUUCAAGGAUUUGACAAAAUAAACACUUAUGUGAGUACUCUUAACUGAGUUAU
Molecule: long non-coding RNA, 1646 nt
Filed under: Anas platyrhynchos platyrhynchos (common mallard)
Lineage: Eukaryota; Metazoa; Chordata; Aves; Anseriformes; Anatidae
Description: lncRNA (ENSAPLG00000020319.1)
Source: RNAcentral